CACGUAGUUAGCCGGGGCUUCUUAGUCAGGUACCGUCAUUUUUUCUUCCCUGCUGAUAGAACUUUACAUACCGAAAUACUUCUUCACUCACGCGGCGUCGCUGGAUCAGGGUUUCCCCCAUUGUCCAAUAUUCCCCACUGCUGCCUCCCGUAGGAGUUUGGGCCGUGUCUCAGUCCCAAUGUGGCCGUCCACCCUCUCAGGCCGGCUACUGAUCGUCGCCUUGGUGGGCCGUUACCCCACCAACCAGCUAAUCAGACGCGGGUCCAUCAUAUACCACCGUAGUUUUCACACUGUCUCAUGCAAAACUGUGCGCUUAUGCGGUAUUAGCACCUAUUCUAAGUGUUAUCCCCUCGUAUAUGCAGGUACCACGCGUUACUCACCCGUCCGCCACUAACGUCAUCAACAUUCCACUCUUAUCAAGCUAUGUCUCAAAAUAGAUGACUCCGUUCGUACUUGUCAUGUUGUUAAGUCACGCCCGCCGACG
RNAcentral lists this ribosomal RNA (484 nucleotides) under uncultured Lachnospiraceae bacterium. Its description in RNAcentral is "partial 16S ribosomal RNA". Lineage: Bacteria; Bacillati; Bacillota; Clostridia; Lachnospirales; Lachnospiraceae. The record is from RNAcentral.